This is a long non-coding RNA of Formica exsecta, 426 nucleotides long. RefSeq lists it as uncharacterized. The record is from RefSeq and is a predicted model, not a curated record. Lineage: Eukaryota; Metazoa; Arthropoda; Insecta; Hymenoptera; Formicidae. The transcript has 2 exons.
ACUACAACUCCGCUGUUGCGCAUCGCACUGUCAAUUAACAGCUCAAAUAAACCAAACAAAAACUGCGACAAAUAUAGUGAUCAAAGUUGCCAUCAUGUAAUGUAGACGAAACCCUUUAAAAGCAUAUCUAUGUUGCAAUGACAAAAUUGGGAACACCGAUGGAUGUGUGUUAAUGCACGGUCGCAUUUCGAGUAUGCAUAUCAUAAUAGCUUUUAAUAAUAUUCGACAGAAAACCACGAGAGAAGGUUAAUAUGAGGUAACUUUAUAAAUAUAAACUCGGUAGCUAAAAUUUAUGUGCAAAAAUAUUCCAACUUGCGUAGCGUCACAAUGUCAAGCAACUCUGAAUUAUAUUUAUCUCUACGAUAGAUGCAGAAUGUAUAGAAAAGCAUACGCGCGUGAAAAUAUAAGCAACACUAUACCAAAAAA